This 263-nucleotide ribosomal RNA is filed under the name uncultured bacterium. RNAcentral's name for it is "partial 16S ribosomal RNA". It matches the Rfam family "Bacterial small subunit ribosomal RNA", at positions 91 to 354 of the family's 1533-position model. The record is from RNAcentral.
CUUAGUGACGGACGGGUGAGUAACGCGUGGGUAACCUGCCUUGCACUGGGGGAUAACACUUAGAAAUAGGUGCUAAUACCGCAUAAGCGCACGGUCCUGCAUGGGACAGUGUGAAAAACUCCGGUGGUGCAAGAUGGACCCGCGUCUGAUUAGCUGGUUGGCGGGGUAAAGGCCCACCAAGGCGACGAUCAGUAGCCGGCCUGAGAGGGUGGACGGCCACAUUGGGACUGAGACACGGCCCAAACUCCUACGGAAGGCAGCAG